CCGAGUUUACAACUCCCAAACCCAAUGUGAACCAUACCAAACUGUUGCCUCGGCGGGGUCACGCCCCGGGUGCGUCGCAGCCCCGGAACCAGGCGCCCGCCGGAGGGACCAACCAAACUCUUUCUGUAGUCCCCUCGCGGACGUUAUUUUUACAGCUCUGAGCAAAAAUUCAAAAUGAAUCA
Molecule: ribosomal RNA, 182 nt
Filed under: Trichoderma viride
Lineage: Eukaryota; Fungi; Ascomycota; Sordariomycetes; Hypocreales; Hypocreaceae
Also listed under: 1 other name
Description: internal transcribed spacer 1 (ITS1)
Source: RNAcentral